AAUAUUGGACAAUGGGGGCAACCCUGAUCCAGCAAUGCCGCGUGAGUGACGAAGGCCUUAGGGUUGUAAAGCUCUUUCGGCUGUGAAGAUAAUGACAGUAACAGCAUAAGAAGCCCCGGCUAAAUUCGUGCCAGCAGCCGCGGUAAUACGAAUGGGGCGAGCGUUGUUCGGAAUCACUGGGCGUAAAGCGUACGUAGGCGGACUAGCAAGUCAGGAGUGAAAUCCCGGGGCUUGACCCCGGAAUUGCUUUUGAAACUGCUAGUCUAGAGGCUCGGAGAGGUCAGCGGAAUUCCCAGUGUAGAGGUGAAAUUCGCAGAUAUUGGGAGGAACACCAGUUGCGUAGGCGGCUGGCUGGACGAGUACUGACGCUGAGGUACGAAAGCGUGGGGAUCAAAC
RNAcentral lists this ribosomal RNA (396 nucleotides) under uncultured bacterium. RNAcentral describes it as "bacterial SSU rRNA". It matches the Rfam family "Bacterial small subunit ribosomal RNA", at positions 360 to 773 of the family's 1533-position model. The record is from RNAcentral.